Molecule: unclassified non-coding RNA, 998 nt
Filed under: Hevea brasiliensis (rubber tree)
Lineage: Eukaryota; Viridiplantae; Streptophyta; Magnoliopsida; Malpighiales; Euphorbiaceae
Source: RNAcentral
AUUUUGAUGAACCCAGUAAGUUCCAUUUCUGAAAAAUGUUAGCCAUUUUCCACAAAACUUUCGCACACCCACCUGAGGAACUUAACAGCCCUGCCUCUUUCACUGGCUCUAAGCCCCCUAAGCUUCCUCAAGAAACACUCAGUGACUUUCUUUCUCGUCAUCCUCAAAACACUUUCUCUGUUAACUUUGGCCAAGCCGCUGUUCUUGCUUAUGUUUCUCCCCAUCGACCCUUUUCUAUCCACCAAAGGCUGUUCUGUGGGUUUGAUGACAUAUACUGUCUAUUCUUGGGAACUUUAAACAAUCUAUGUGCACUGAAUAAGCAAUACGGUCUAUCAAAAGGCUCAAAUGAGGCUAUGUUUUUGAUUGAGGCGUAUAGGACACUUAGGGACAGAGGUCCUUACCCAGCUGAUCAGGUCCUUAAGGAGCUUGAUGGCAGCUUUGCCUUUGUUGUUUAUGAUAGUAGGGCUGGUACUGUUUUUGCUGCCUUGGGUGCUGAUGGGGGAGUGAAACUCUAUUGGGGAAUUGCAGCAGAUGGGUCAGUGGUGAUAUCAGACGAUGUGGAUGUCAUCAAAGAAGGUUGUGCUAAAUCAUAUGCCCCAUUUCCAACAGGAUGCAUGUUCCAUAGUGAAGGAGGUCUAAUGAGUUUUGAGCAUCCAAUGAACAAGAUGAAAGCAAUGCCCAGAAUUGACAGUGAAGGUGCCAUGUGUGGAGCUAACUUCAAGGUAGAUGUGUACACAAGGGUGAACAGCAUCCCAAGGAGAGGCAGUGAAGCUAAUUGGGCUGAAUGGGACACAAACUAGACACACAUAUACAACUCUCUCUUCUCUCUGUGCUGUUUUCACGAUUUAGCUCUUCUAAGUCUCUCUAACAUCUCUUUCUUAAGCUCCAAUGGCUUGUAAUUAUUUUUCACAAUAAAAUUUCUCUUUUCCUUCUUACUUCUUCAUAUAUGUAAAUCAACAAAUAAACACUUCUUGUUGAGGAUAUUUUCAGGGAGAAAU